Molecule: non-coding RNA, 2024 nt
Organism: Arachis ipaensis
Lineage: Eukaryota; Viridiplantae; Streptophyta; Magnoliopsida; Fabales; Fabaceae
Source: RefSeq, a predicted model, not a curated record
AGAGUAGUGUGAUGUAUUGUGAAAUUAGAUCUCUACAAUUGUAGGCUAUAGAGAAAUCAAGAACAGAUCUUGACCCAUUAUUUCAAUAGAAAACAAUGAAUAAUUCGAAGAUAGAGACGAAAAAAAGAAAAUAGAGGGAGAAAUACCCAAUAAAAAAGAAAAACAAGGUUAUUUUAUGGGUGGAAUAGAAAAUGAAAAAAGAAGUGGGUUUUGGAGAAUUUGGUUUCAAUCAAGUUCGCUCUGCAACUUUCUCGAAACAAAAGUAGGAGAUGAUGAAACACACACUACUAGAAUUUUAACAUUUACUAACACUUUUUAUGUAACACUUUUUAAAAUGUUAGUUAUACUAAUAAAAUUAUACUUUUAACAACAUUUAUAAAAUAAAUGUUAGAAAAUAUAAUUUUUUUUUUUAAAAAAAAUAAACAUCAGAUACAAACGUUACCAAAUAGGCAACGUUACUAAAUCAAGUUUUAAGUUUGAACGCAUCUUCUUUGCAGUUUAUUUUCUUCACGAUCAAGAUCGAAUUUCUUUCUCGUUCUCUUCUGAAUCAAGUUUAUCUAUCCAAAUCAAUUUCUUUCUCAUUCUCUUCUGAAUCAAGUUUAUCUAUCCAAAUCAUUAACCUCAAUCGGUUCAUAUUCUUAUUCUCGAUCAAGGUUUUGCGAUUUCAGCGCUAUUUGAAUCAUUCUCGAAAUUUUGAUUCGCUUCUCGAUUUCAAUCUCAAUUUUGGAAGAAAGUAGUGAGGAAGAAAGGAUUAAGGAUUGAUCUUCAAAUUUGGGAUAGUUUGUUUGAGGUGAACUACGAGUAGAACAUGUUUGUGAAUUUGUCUCAGUGAAUAUAGAGGCUGAAACUCUCCUUCAAUAUUUGAGAGAAUCAAGACAAGAAGCAUCAUCUUCAAGUUCUUAAAGUGGAGUUAUUAUUACUACUACUACUACUUAGGGAGUUGGUACUCUAGGUUCAUAUGCACCAACAGCAGCUUCAUGGCCAAAAAAGAAGAUCCAAAAAGAAUUUAAUUUUUUGAGGUUUAAGCAAUCAAGUUUAGUAUUUCGUUGUGAACGCAUUGAGGGAGGGCCUACAUGGCAAGAAUGUAAGAGAAAAUAUAUUGUGAAAGUGCCCUCUGGACAAUCUUUUGAAUCUGAACCUCCAGCUUUUGAUUCAAAAAGAAUUUUGACCUCUGUUAAAAAUUCAUUGGAUGCUUUCUAUAGGUUUUCCAGGCCUCACACGGUUAUUGGCACCGCAUUGAGCAUAGUUUUUGUGUCUAUCCUAGCAGUGCAGAAAGCAUCAGACAUAUCUCCUCUAUCUUUUACUGGUAUGUUGGAGGAAGAUCGGUUUAAAUUACUUGGUGAGAAACAUCAGCUCUAUGAAUUUCUGGAUACAUUCUACGUGCAAUGUUCAUAUAUGCUUUCAACAAGGAGCAUGUCAAAGCUAUUCUUUCAGAAAUUGUUAAACAUAAAGCUGCAGAGAAUGAACAACGGAUACAGUCUUACAUGAAUAUGUUGGUGGUAAGGACAUGAUGUUUUAGGUGCAGUAAAUUAUUGCAUUUGGUUAUUGGAAGCACUUGUAUCUUCAGUUCCCAAGGUUGUAGAGAGUCAUGUUGAUUCUACAUUGAUCCCGGAUAGGGCACCAUUAUCAGCAUAUCAGUACUUUAAAAAUGUGAGAAAUUUUCUUGUUGCUGUCCAGUUAUAUAAGAGAAUGAUAUGGCUGCAAAAUUAGUAUGUUAAUUGGUGUUAUCUUGUGAUGUUAGAUGACAAACAGGGAGCACUUGAGUUCCUCAAGUUAAUAUCAGCAUGAAUUUUAUUAUUUUGUUGUAAAUACUUGUAUGCAGUCGAACUGAUCUUUACUAUAGGAAAAGUUUGUGCAAUGUAAGCAUAUUGAAGAAAUAGGAAAAUUGACUUAUUGAAUCAAUUUAGUGUUUAAAUAUUUUGGAUUUAAUUUGUAAAGUAGGUGUAGAAUAUUGUAAUUUUUUUUAUUGUUAACAAGAAAGAUCUUUUGUAACAUUUUUUCAAUGUUAGCAAAAAAGAUAAAUU